GAGGACACACAGAAGAUCAAGGGGCUGAUUACAGAAAAAUUCCCACAUUUAAGCGGGAAGUAGAAGAAGUGGGGCCAAAGAGAUGGAGGAGAAGUGGUCAGAGAGUGAGUAUGUGGGUUACUGAUUCCAGGGGAAGAAAGAAUUUCAAAGCGAGAGGGGUGGGAGGAUUGCUGGUCAAUAUCAUCACCAUGGUAACAGGGAUGUGACGCAGAAAGAGCGAGCUGAGAAGACAUCAAUGGACCACCUCGUGCAAAUCAUCAGAACAGGUGGACAAUCCAUCAGACUACAGAUACAUAGUCCACGAAGAGAACAAGAAAAAAUCGGGAUAAAUCCUACAUCAGAAUUUCUGCAGAGAUGAAUUCGAGUUCUACAUGCAAACCUGCAGUGGUGUGCAGGACAAUUUGCAGAGCACCAUGAAGCUCGCCAGGACUGUUCUGUGAGGUCGACCCCUGUAGAAUAAUUUGGUGUUGGGGAGACCAUUAUUCCCCUUUCAUACCUUCUCAAAAAGGGAAAUUCCAUUCCUCUCACAGAAGAGACAACAUAAUACUUCUGGAUGUCUCCUGUCACUUCACCCAUGGGAAGAGUAGCUCAUUUGAUUGGUGGAGAGCCUAAAAGCCAUUGAGGCAUGAUUUUUUCUAAGGUCUAUGGUUAUUGAAUUGAAAAGUUAGUGAUGGCCAGUCCUUUCUCUUACUCUCUUGGGCUGGCUGUUCUCAUUGGCAGUGGGCUCACCUAUGCUUCAAGAUCCAGGCAGUAAGCAAACUUUCCCCACGUAGGCCCUGUUCCCCAUGCCAGCAGUCUUGUCUGCAAAUGGAUGAGUCAGGUCAGCCCAUCACCAGAGGCCAAGUAACUUUAAUUUAAUAAAUGUUAAUUCCCUAAAAGGAAGUGCUAUUUUGGCCUCAGGUCCAAGUCACAUUGUCCAGUCCAUCUUUAUUGUGAGUAAAAUUGAUAAUUUGAAGGUAAAACCUAAAGGGAAGGGGGGAUGUGAGUGCUACUCUAAGCCUUGAACAUUUGGGAGCUUUGAGACAGGCAUUUCAGUCCUCUGCUGUCAGGAAACACUGACAUAACACAACCAUCAGUAGGAUCUGGCUCCCUGUUCUUAAGAGUCAUGCGUUUGUUUUGCUUUUUUCUUUGCUUUCUGCUUAAAAGGCACGUAAUAAAUAUCUGUUGAUUGAUUAGAGUAAGUCACUAAACAGCAGCUGGUACUUAAAUUAAUCCUACUUGAGCCCAAACAGCUGGCUUAAAGCACUGAGCAAAUCUCAGAAAGCAAUGUUCACCUUCACCUCAGAGAAUAACGUCAUAUUUGAAGACGAAGGGAGAAGAGGAAGAAGAAAAGAUGUCGAUGGGACCUCUUGCUGGCACCAGAAAGUGCUCAGACUGAAAGCCCCUCCAGCUUUCCACCACCUCCGCCAGUGCUAACAGCUGGCAAGUCCAAAGAGGCAAAGAGUCAUCAGGGGUCAAAAUAAAGAAGAUUCCAUGUACUCUGGAAUUUAUAUUGGAGUUCCCUUGAGGAAAGCAGAAGUCACCUUUCUGAUCGAUUGCUUCAUUCAUUCAUUUACUGACAAGGAGUUCUAAAGCACUACCCAGAACUCUUCGGUAGGACUAUUUUCCCUGCACAUGCAAAUGCUUCCAAGAUGAAGGCAACCUGUAGAAAGCCCGAUGUGGUCAGAGGUCGAACCAUGUUCUCCAAGCCAACUUUACCAAUAAUAAGGCUGAUCUUUUGGGGGGACUCCAUCUGUCUAACUCGGGUCUAUUCUUAAUUUGUUCAGAAAUUAAAAGAAGGAGAAGAGGAUGACUAAUUAUUGCCCCCUAAAAUUUCACAACAUGCUUAUGGCAUAAAAAACCAUUAAUUUCAUGAAACUUUAAAAAAAUAUUCUUAGUGUAGACAGUUUCCAUCAACCAACUUUUUGGUAAGUAUGAGGGGCGGUAGUUAGAUGUUACCCUCCCCUCCAAGUUCUAUGAGGCAACUAGCUGAAGAACCACAUUGGCCCUAGGAUGGAGGAGACCGAAAGAAGUUGCUCAAACAGAAGGCCACUCUGUUUCUGCAUCAGGGUGGCCAGUAGAGACAGGUAGGGCUUGGCUAAGAUUCUCAAGAAGAAACUUGGGGUUUCCAUUCAGGAAUCAUAUGUAUAGAAAGACAACCAAGGUCCCCACUUGCACACCAUACAGUAUGAUUUCAAGGAUUUAAUCCCAGAAAAAUUUUGAAGCAAAUAUAACUAAAUGCCUACUUUGACCAUAACAAAAUGAAAAACUUUAUCAAAGCACUUGACAUUGAGCAAUAACUGCCUGUGUAUUCCUUAUGUGACAUUUGAGGACUUCAAGCAAAGCCCCAUGUGCAUUCCUUAUGUUUUCAAAACAUACUCUUAGUAACCAGAUAAACUAACUUGUUAAAUAUGUUGAUUGACUCCUAGCUAGUUAAAUGUCAGAAUCGUCCACCAAAAACACCCACCUUGGCCCUUGAGUGUUGGAUUUGUAGCUCUCUGUUUUUGCAACAAUUGGAUAUAGCGCGACCGAUUUUCUAUUGUGAGCCCUCCAGAUUUCUAACAACACAAUAAGGUCAUCUGCACUUGGAAGUAAAUUUAUCUUUCUAUUAUUUAUAAACACAGUUGUGAUUGGACAGUAAGUGGGGUGGUUAGGGUAGAUGCGUGCAUGCAUCUUGUUCAAGAGAGCUAUCAAGUUAUUAAAAGAUAUAUAGAGAAAAAAACAGAGGGGGGUGCAAUACCUGUUCUUGUAGCUUUUAGUGAGUAUUAAGGAGUACUACAGGACAGAAUUAGUCACUGGUGACUGUGUCAUGGAUCCUAACGGGAAACAAUCAAAUUACUGGGGCUCUUGAUUGGCACCAUUGGGAGCACAACAUUUGGAAACUUCUCAGUAAGACAUCUGUUUAUCUACGUUUUGCUCCCACUAAAUUGAGAGCAUCUUUAAGUCAGAAAUGCUGUUCAUUCAUCUAUGAGUUUGUGCCUGGUACACAGUAGGCGUUUGACAUAUAACUGUUAAGUGAAUGAAAUUUGUUAAUAAUUUAUAAUUCAGGCGUAAAACAGAUUUCAGGUAAAGCUUUUGCUAGGUGAAUAACGAGUACAAGUUACAAGCACAUCUCCAGGAAGGCUCACGAGUGUCAGUUAUUAAUUUUCGCUAUCAUUAUUAAACAGAAGCCCUAGAGAAUGGACAGAAAUGGCACCUAAUGUUGUUAAUUAAAAGUAGAAGAAGAUGUAAUUGAAACUAUGAAGCACUCCAUCUUUUCCUUAUGUGAAGCACCCAAGAUUUAAAUGCAAACAAUGGAAGAUUCCCUCAAGGCAAUUCUAUGAAGCUUCACACCAUUUUCUAAAGGAGCAAUGUUCUCUUCUAAGAUCAGUUUUGUUGCCGUUUCUACUAGUUUUUCAUAUUUUAAAAAAUAACUGAUAUUUAAAAAAAAAAAAACUUUGUCAUCAACUUCUAAAUAAACAGCUAUUUCCACAUAUUAGUGAUCUUGUAGAAAGAACACCCAGAACUUAAUGAAACCCCAGAAGACUAGAAAAUCCUGACUCACAAGAACACAGUGCUUAUUUGGUUUCAGGCCAUUGGCUACUUCCUUGUCGGGACUUUCCAAGUCAGAUAGUGUUACACUUGGAACAUGCCAGCAAGCAUUAAUAAUCAUGACCAUAAAUGAA
Molecule: long non-coding RNA, 3644 nt
Organism: Equus quagga
Lineage: Eukaryota; Metazoa; Chordata; Mammalia; Perissodactyla; Equidae
Exons: 3
Source: RefSeq, a predicted model, not a curated record